RNAcentral lists this ribosomal RNA (1502 nucleotides) under metagenome. RNAcentral describes it as "bacterial SSU rRNA". It matches the Rfam family "Bacterial small subunit ribosomal RNA". The record is from RNAcentral.
AGAGUUUGAUCAUGGCUCAGGACGAACGCUAGCGGCACGCUUAACACAUGCAAGUCGAAUGCCAACCGUCUCCUUCGGGAGGCUUAGUAGCAUGGCGAACGGGUGAGUAACGCGUAGGUAACCUACCCUCAAGCGGGGGAUAAGCCCGGGAAACUGGGUACAAUACCGCAUGUUACUCUUUGAUCGCAUGAUCGAAGAAUCAAAGCCUUCGGGCACUUGGGGAUGGACCUGCGUUCUAUUAGUUAGUUGGUGAGGUAACGGCUCACCAAGGCGACGAUGGAUAGCUGGUUUGAGAGGAUGAUCAGCCACACUGGGACUGAGAUACGGCCCAGACUCCUACGGGAGGCAGCAGUGAGGAAUAUUGCACAAUGGACGAAAGUCUGAUGCAGCGAUGCCGCGUGAACGAUGAAGCCCUGCGGGGUGUAAAGUUCUUUUCUGAGGGAAGAAUGCUUGUUUCGGCAAGAGAGACGGUACCUCAGGAAUAAGCUCCGGCCAACUACGUGCCAGCAGCCGCGGUAAUACGUAGGGAGCAAGCGUUGUCCGGAUUUACUGGGCGUAAAGGGCGUGUAGGUGGAAUGGUCAGUCAAGGGUGAGAUGUACGAGCUUAACUCGUAAAUUGCCCUCGAUACUGCCAUUCUUGAGUGCAGGAGGGGGAAGUGGAAUUCCUGGUGUAGCGGUGGAAUGCGCAGAUAUCAGGAGGAACACCGGUGGCGAAGGCGGCUUCCUGGCCUGACACUGACACUGAGGCGCGAAAGCGUGGGUAGCAAACAGGAUUAGAUACCCUGGUAGUCCACGCUGUAAACGAUGGGUACUAGAUGUAGGAGGAAUCGAUCCCCUCUUUUGUCGUAGCUAACGCGUUAAGUACCCCGCCUGGGGAGUACGAUCGCAAGGUUGAAACUCAAAGGAAUUGACGGGGCCCCGCACAAGCGGUGGAGCAUGUGGUUUAAUUCGAUGCAACGCGCAGAACCUUACCUAGCCUGGAAUUCAAGCUGCACAUCCGGUGAAAACCGGACUCCUUCGAGGGUGCUUGAGAGGUGUUGCAUGGCUGUCGUCAGCUCGUGUCGUGAGAUGUUGGGUUAAGUCCCGCAACGAGCGCAACCCCUAUCGUUAGUUGCCAUCAGGUCCUUCGGGAUGCUGGGAACUCUAGCGAGACUGCCUGGGUUAACCAGGAGGAAGGUGGGGAUGAUGUCAAGUCCUCAUGGCCCUUAUGGCUAGGGCUACACACGUGCUACAAUGGGUGGUACAGAGGGUCGCGAUACCGCGAGGUGGAGCUAAUCCCACAAAGCCAUCCUCAGUUCGGAUUGCAGUCUGCAACUCGACUGCAUGAAGUUGGAAUCGCUAGUAAUCGCUGAUCAGCAGGCAGCGGUGAAUACGUUCCCGGGGCUUGUACACACCGCCCGUCACACCAUGGAAGUCGGUAGCGCCCGAAGUCGCUGAGCUAACCGCAAGGAAGCAGGCGCCGAAGGUGAGAUCGGUAACUGGGGUGAAGUCGUAACAAGGUA